This 394-nucleotide ribosomal RNA is filed under the name uncultured bacterium. Its description in RNAcentral is "partial 16S ribosomal RNA". It matches the Rfam family "Bacterial small subunit ribosomal RNA", at positions 338 to 729 of the family's 1533-position model. The record is from RNAcentral.
CCUACGGGUGGCUGCAGUGAGGAAUAUUGGUCAAUGGGCGCGAGCCUGAACCAGCCAAGUAGCGUGAAGGAUGACUGUCCUACGGGUUGUAAACUUCUUUUAUAAAGGAAUAAAGUGAGGCACGUGUGCCUUUUUGUAUGUACCUUAUGAAUAAGGAUCGGCUAACUCCGUGCCAGCAGCCGCGGUAAUACGGAGGAUCCGAGCGUUAUCCGGAUUUAUUGGGUUUAAAGGGAGCGUAGAUGGGUUGUUAAGUCAGUUGUGAAAGUUAGGGGCUCAACCGUAAAAUUGCAGUUGAUACUGGCAGCCUUGAGUACAGUAGAGGUAAGCGGAAUUCGUGGUGUAGCGGUGAAAUGCUUAGAUAUCACGAAGAACUCCGAGUGCGAAGGCAGCCUAC